RNAcentral lists this ribosomal RNA (774 nucleotides) under Curvularia lunata var. lunata. RNAcentral's name for it is "LSU rRNA". It matches the Rfam family "Eukaryotic large subunit ribosomal RNA", at positions 147 to 938 of the family's 3401-position model. Lineage: Eukaryota; Fungi; Ascomycota; Dothideomycetes; Pleosporales; Pleosporaceae. The record is from RNAcentral.
AAUUUGCAGAGGGCGCUUUGGCUUUGGCAGCGGUCCAAGUUCCUUGGAACAGGACGUCACAGAGGGUGAGAAUCCCGUACGUGGUCGCUAGCUAUUGCCGUGUAAAGCCCCUUCGACGAGUCGAGUUGUUUGGGAAUGCAGCUCUAAAUGGGAGGUAAAUUUCUUCUAAAGCUAAAUAUUGGCCAGAGACCGAUAGCGCACAAGUAGAGUGAUCGAAAGAUGAAAAGCACUUUGGAAAGAGAGUCAAACAGCACGUGAAAUUGUUGAAAGGGAAGCGCUUGCAGCCAGACUUGCUUGCAGUUGCUCAUCCGGGCUUUUGCCCGGUGCACUCUUCUGUAGGCAGGCCAGCAUCAGUUUGGGCGGUGGGAUAAAGGUCUCUGUCACGUACCUUCCUUCGGGUUGGCCUUAUAGGGGAGACGCCAUACCACCAGCCUGGACUGAGGUCCGCGCAUCUGCUAGGAUGCUGGCGUAAUGGCUGUAAGCGGCCCGUCUUGAAACACGGACCAAGGAGUCUAACAUCUAUGCGAGUGUUUGGGUGUCAAGCCCGAACGCGUAAUGAAAGUGAACGGAGGUGGGAACCCGCAAGGGUGCACCAUCGACCGAUCCUGAAGUUUACGGAAGGAUUUGAGUAAGAGCAUGGCUGUUGGGACCCGAAAGAUGGUGAACUAUGCUUGAAUAGGGUGAAGCCAGAGGAAACUCUGGUGGAGGCUCGCAGCGGUUCUGACGUGCAAAUCGAUCGUCAAAUUUGGGCAUAGGGGGCGAAAGACUAAUCGA